Molecule: non-coding RNA, 3600 nt
Organism: Taeniopygia guttata (zebra finch)
Lineage: Eukaryota; Metazoa; Chordata; Aves; Passeriformes; Estrildidae
Source: RefSeq, a predicted model, not a curated record
CUCUCCAUUGACCGCCCUCCCCGGGCUGAGCUGCACCAGGAGAGGUUCAGGUCGUACAUCUGGAGGAAUUCCUGCCCGGAUAUGGUGAUGAGACAUUGGAAAGGGCUGCCCAGGGGGGCGGCGGGGUUCCCGUCCCUGGAGGUGUUUAAGGACAGGCUGGCUGCGGCACUUGUGCCAUGGCGUGGCUGACAGGGCAUAGGUUGGCCUCGAUGGUGUUUUCCAGCCGCGGUGCUCUGUGGUUGCCGGGCCGAGCAGCCCCCGCUGUGGCCGGGCAGGUGAGCCCGCGGCCCGCAGGAGCUGGGUUGUCAUUGCCGCCUCAUCCCCGCUCUGCGGGCAGCAGCGGCCCGCAGUGCCCGGAGGGUGAAGGGCGGCCUGGGGCUCCGAGCCCCUGAGCUCCGCUGCCGAGGGGCCGCGCCCGGAGCCCCGGGCUGGGGGAAACAGGGAACCGGGCGGGCAGCGAGGCACCGAGCCCAGCGCCGUCCCCACACCCCGCAGACAAGGGACAGAAGCUGGAGCACGACUUGCGGUGUUUCUGUUUCCUAUACACCUUUGGGUGUUCUCGAGCAUCUCCAGCCCGCUCUGCGGUCCUAACGCGAAAUAAACUUUUGUCUCCCCGUGUCUGCGUUUUAACGUUUGGUAAAUUAAAACUGUAUUUAUGAGCUUUGGGCCUUCAGAGGUGCCUCUACUGGUCUUGGCAUUAACUAUUUUAUAGCGAUAGCAUGGCAGUACACUUAGUGUAAUUAAAUCUGGUGUGAGUAAAAAGUGAACAGAGAUCAGACGUGAGUUUGAAUUAAUACUUCAGUCUUUAAUCAUGCAGCAACAUAAUUAAGAUUAUUCGAUAAGGAGUAUUUAAGGCAAUUCAAUACGGAGUAUUUAAGGCAAUUCAAUAUGGAGUAUUUAAGGCAAUUCAAUACAGAGUAUUUAAGGCAGUUCAGUAUAAAAUAUUUUAAGUUUUUUUUAGAGUGUUAUAGUUAGUGUUCUCAUAAUUAGAAUAUUUUAAAAGUCCUGGUUUGGACCUUCACCUCUUCUUGCAAAACUUCACGUAUUUUUGAGAAAUUCUAGCCUAAGUCAGGUUAUUCCUAAGUAACUGUUUUUAUGGAGUAGUUUUCACUCCCUCACGCCCCUUAUGACCUAUAAUGCAGCCUAUAUAAUUGAUCCUUACAAGACAUUGUUAAGUUAGUCAGGAAUAACAUCUCUGUUUUCUAAGUGUGAUCAAAUAUCUCAGAGGGAGUCAGCUGUGGACAGGAUUUAACAGUCCUUGUUAUUGAUAUGGUUUCUUAAAGAAUUAUUUUUCUGAAGUGGGUUGUUUUGAGCUCUUUCAGUGUUAAAAUUCAAAGCUGGUACAGAAUGGAAUAAGAGAUUCUGAUACAUUCCUCUCUUUAGAAUGACAGUAGUCAGAACUAAUAACUGAAAUUUUCCUGAAGUUUCAGCUAUUCAUCAGUGCCAAGGAAAGGAAAAUGUUGUCUGGCAAGUUAUUGUGGUACCAGAAGUGCCCUUUGGUAAAAUAUUGCUUCACUUGUUAAUUGCCUGCAGCACUGAGGUGAGUGAAGAAAUUCUGAUACUGAUAUACCACUGUUAGUAAAAUUUGUUCUACGUGAGAAAAGCUUAAUGCUGCAAAAAUAAGAUUUGCAAAAUGAGAGCAUGCAGUUUUAAGGAAGGCAGAUCUCCAAAGGCAGAUGGAGUGCAAGGUGGGUUGGAAUCACAGAAUCCCAGAAUGGUUUAGGUUGGCAGGGACCUUAAAUUCAUCUCAUCCCAGCCCUGCCAUGGGCAGGGACACCUUCCACUGUCCCAGGUUGCUCCAAGCCCUGUCCAGCCUGGCCUGGGACACUUCCAGGGAUGCAGGGGCAGCCACAGCUUCCCUGGGCACCCUGUGCCAGGACCUCUCCAGCCUCAGAGGAGGAAAUCUGGUAUAAUGCAAAAUUACAAACUGGCAUGUAAAUUAACAAAUUGUAAACAUUUCUAGGAACCUGUUGCUGAGAAAUUCAACGCUUUUUAGCUGUGCUAAUGGUGUCCAGCUCACUGUAUUUCUAAGAAUAUUUACUUGAUUCUGUUUUAUAUUUCCUGCAUGAUUUAAUAGCAGCACCUUGGAUCUCCUCUGCAAUGUGGUGUUGUUGCUGCUUUUAAGGAUGUGAGAAAAGGCUGCCAAGUACUCUCCAAGUGCAGGCUGUCCUCCUGCCAAGACAUCAGCAAGAGGGUUUUGUGCUCAGGGCAGCUGGUGCAGAUGCAAAGCUGGCUGCCCAGCAGGAGCCCUGCUGGCACAGGGACGCUGCUCUCAUGGCCAGGGGACUGGGGGACGUGUCCCUCAUGCUCAGCACUCCCUAGAUCAUAACCAGAGAAAACCAGAGCUGAGGAGAGAGCAGCUGUUUGUCUGCCCAAAGUGACACCUUUGUGCCAAUGUUCAGAGCCACCCACAUACCCUGACACAGGUGGGACUUCCCAGUGAAUGCCCAACCAAGAAGCUUUGCUGAAAUCAUUGAAGGCUUAUGCUUGCACUGAAAAUCAAGCACAAAGGCCAAAGGAUGGAAAAGCGAGAUUGUGGCUGUAUGUUGUUAUUUGCUUCUAAAGUCUCUGGUUCUGCUAUUUGACAAAUUGCUGCCUUCUAAACAGCAGCAAGAACACAGUUUGGAGAAAUACAGCUUACACCUAUUUUCUGCAGCCUCACACAUCUGCUUCAGAUUUGCAGCAGGAGGAGAAACGGGACGUGUAAUGCUGGUUUAUGGACACAGCAGAUGUCCAUACAUCAGCACACACACACACACACACUGAAUAAAGAGGACUUAACCUUUUGGGAUUCACUGAAAUGAGGCACAGGGCUAGUGAGAAUUACAGAUCCAUCUGUAAUAAUGGUUUCCACAGCACUUGUAAAGAACCUGGAUUUGUGAAGUCCUCAUUCUGCACAGGUUCUAUAACGAGGAGGGCUUUGUUGCUGAGUGUCUCUACAGUAAGACAAGAAAAGCAGUUCAGGUCUCAUUCCUAUGCUGUUCUUUGUUCCUCAGAAGAAAUCUGUCAGAAUAUGGAUUUAGGAGUUAAUGGCCUGGAAGCAAAAUCCCACAGAACUGAGUGUCUGUGUUAAAAGCUGUCAGAAUUUACUGCUAUCUUUAAAACAAUUAGUGGAAAGGCUAGAACCUAUUUCAGGCAAAGAGGGAAAGAUGGAAUUAGCCAAUUUUUUUCCAGACAAAGAAAAUGAUGAGUAUUAAUGUGUGGUCAUUUUAGAUUUCUGGCAGGACCCCUCUCUCCACAAUAUUUGUCUUGUGUAGUUAAAAAUGGCAGCAUUAAUACAUUCUGCUUCCAUGAGCCCCUUCAUGGUAGCUGAUUAGAAAGAUCAAUAAUGUGCCUCAGGUUGUGAGUCAUUAGAAGCUUAUUUUUCAGUGUUGAUUAUUACAAUGUAUGUGAGCAAGUGUGAUCAAAGCAGAUUAUUUACAAUAUACAGCAGUGUGGUCUGUCGGAGCAGCACGUUUCCAAAGCCGUGGAAAGUGGUUUCAGAGAGAGCUGACAGAUUACUACACUGUUUAUCAUUGUUACAGCCUCAGUGGGAGUCUGGUUUAAUCUAAUUAACAUAACAGUGGGAGCACAAUGACAAUAAAAAUUAGAAGCCCUGAA